Molecule: ribosomal RNA, 465 nt
Filed under: uncultured Klebsiella sp.
Lineage: Bacteria; Pseudomonadati; Pseudomonadota; Gammaproteobacteria; Enterobacterales; Enterobacteriaceae
Description: bacterial SSU rRNA
Rfam family: Bacterial small subunit ribosomal RNA
Source: RNAcentral
CCUACGGGCGGCAGCAGUGGGGAAUAUUGCACAAUGGGCGCAAGCCUGAUGCAGCCAUGCCGCGUGUGUGAAGAAGGCCUUCGGGUUGUAAAGCACUUUCAGCGGGGAGGAAGGCGUUAAGGUUAAUAACCUUGUCGAUUGACGUUACCCGCAGAAGAAGCACCGGCUAACUCCGUGCCAGCAGCCGCGGUAAUACGGAGGGUGCAAGCGUUAAUCGGAAUUACUGGGCGUAAAGCGCACGCAGGCGGUCAGUCAAGUCGGAUGUGAAAUCCCCGGGCUCAACCUGGGAACUGCAUUCGAAACUGGCAGGCUAGAGUCUUGUAGAGGGGGGUAGAAUUCCAGGUGUAGCGGUGAAAUGCGUAGAGAUCUGGAGGAAUACCGGUGGCGAAGGCGGCCCCCUGGACAAAGACUGACGCUCAGGUGCGAAAGCGUGGGGAGCAAACAGGAUUAGAUACCCUAGUAGUC